GAAUUUUGUAAGAACACUGUAGACAAUCCCUUGGGUCUGUGUUCCUAAUAUGAAUUCUAUACCAGAUGUAGACUAUACAGAGAGGUUCAAGGCUUUCCAGAGUCUCCACCAUUGACUGUGUCGGGAACUUGCGUCUUCUCUACACACUGUUCCAUUCGCUUCAUGAUUAAGUCCAGAAGGGUUUCCACAGCUUUCUCCACAUUCUGGCCAGUUGCAGCACUCGUUUCAAAAUAUGGUAUACUUGCAUCGAAGAGGUGAUGCGUUAUUUUUGAGAGGAAGAAAUCAGAAAAGACACAAGAAGAUGUGCAAAUGAGGAACACGGGCAAAAACAUGGCUGGCUGAGAGAUGAUGAAAUAAUCAUGGUUUUGCCCACAGAGUUGGAAAAAGCACCUUUUUCUCUCAGACACACUGUGCAAAAGAGAGAAGAAGGAGGG
Molecule: long non-coding RNA, 434 nt
Organism: Lutra lutra (Eurasian river otter)
Lineage: Eukaryota; Metazoa; Chordata; Mammalia; Carnivora; Mustelidae
Exons: 3
Source: RefSeq, a predicted model, not a curated record